RNAcentral lists this ribosomal RNA (800 nucleotides) under uncultured bacterium. Its description in RNAcentral is "bacterial SSU rRNA". It matches the Rfam family "Bacterial small subunit ribosomal RNA", at positions 60 to 847 of the family's 1533-position model. The record is from RNAcentral.
AGUCGAACGAGAAAGUUCCUUCGGGGAUGAGUAGAGUGGCGCACGGGUGAGUAACGCGUGGAUAAUCUACCGGGGAGUGGGGAAUAACAGUUGGAAACGGCUGCUAAUACCGCACACGCUGCAUAUAUGUCUAUGCAGGAAAGGGGGCCUCUGCAUAUGCUUCCGCUUUUCGAUGAGUCCGCGUCCCAUUAGCUUGUUGGCGGGGUAACGGCCCACCAAGGCGACGAUGGGUAGCUGGUCUGAGAGGAUGACCAGCCACACUGGGACUGGAACACGGCCCAGACUCCUACGGGAGGCAGCAGUGGGGAAUAUUGCGCAAUGGGCGAAAGCCUGACGCAGCGACGCCGCGUGAGGGAUGAAGGUUUUCGGAUCGUAAACCUCUGUCAGAAGGGAAGAAGUUGCAUGGGGCCAAUCACCUGUGCAUUGACGGUACCUUCAAAGGAAGCACCGGCUAACUCCGUGCCAGCAGCCGCGGUAAUACGGAGGGUGCGAGCGUUAAUCGGAAUUACUGGGCGUAAAGCGCACGUAGGCUGUAUGUCAAGUCAAGGGUGAAAUCCCACGGCUCAACCGUGGAACUGCCUUUGAAACUGGCAAACUGGAGUAUGUGAGAGGGCGGCGGAAUUCCUGGUGUAGGAGUGAAAUCCGUAGAUAUCAGGAGGAACAUCAGUGGCGAAGGCGGCCGCCUGGCACAAAACUGACGCUGAGGUGCGAAAGCGUGGGUAGCAAACAGGAUUAGAUACCCUGGUAGUCCACGCUGUAAACGAUGGAUACUGGGUGUUGGGUUUUAUUGACUCGGCGCC